UCGGCAGACCAGACAAUCGCUGGUGCUUAGCACGGGAGGAAAGUCCGGGCUACAUAGGGCAGAGUGCCAGCUAACGGCUGGGGGGCGAAAGCCUACGACAAGUGCAACAGAGAAUAGACCGCCUUAUAUUUUAUAAGGUAAGGGUGAAACGGUGUGGUAAGAGCACACCGCAUGACUGGCAACAGGACAUGGCAAGGUAAACUCCACUCGUAGCAAGACCAAAUAGGUGUUCAAUGUGUUGCCCGCACAGAACACGGGUAGGUUGCUUGAGCGUAUCAGCGAUGGUACGCCUAGAUGAAUGAUUGUCCACGACAGAACCCGGCUUAUCGGUCUGCCAAAAUU
RNAcentral lists this RNase P RNA (342 nucleotides) under Moraxella nasicaprae. RNAcentral describes it as "Moraxella sp. ZY201224 RNase P RNA component class A". It matches the Rfam family "Bacterial RNase P class A". Rfam says of the family: Ribonuclease P (RNase P) is a ubiquitous endoribonuclease, found in archaea, bacteria and eukarya as well as chloroplasts and mitochondria. The record is from RNAcentral. Lineage: Bacteria; Pseudomonadati; Pseudomonadota; Gammaproteobacteria; Moraxellales; Moraxellaceae.